ACAGCAUGACUAGCAUAUGGCCCAGUGCUGCACAAACCCACCGUUGUCACUUGAAAGUCCUCAUCUUAGAGCCAAGGGUAGAUUGUCUAUAGCAUGUUUUGGAGGGCAGCAUGAUGCAUGAAUGAUGCCUACACAGCAGCUGCCUCAAGACACAACUACUUAAGGUAGAUACAUUCUGAAGGCAGCAGUAGUGACACUUACUGGUCAAUGGUAGACCGAACCCUAACCUUGCCAGUUAGCCUUCUUAAAUGGUAAUGCAGUUACCCAACUACUUAGAAAAAGGUCUGUACGGUAACUGAACAGCUGAACUGUUUUCUAACAGCAAAUCCAUUUCUCCAUAAGGUCUGGUUCUUUUAGCGUAUAAUCCAAGUAACCUGUGUAAGUAAAUCAUUGCAAUACAAAACUCAUUUCCUUUUUCUUUUUUUUUUUUUUGGUUAAGAAAGCAACAUACCAAAUUUUCUUAAGCAAGAACCAGAGACUUGUCCUUUGUGAUGUCCUUUCACAAUGAACAAUUGUGUAAUUCUUUACAGAAUAAUGCUUACAGCUAAAAAUUCUCCUAAUGUCACUGCAACAAAGAUUUUUUUUUUCUGAAAAACUGAAGUCUGAUGUACUAAAUGCCUCAAAAGGCAAAUGAGUUAGCUUUUCAGUUACAACAUUUCAGGUGCUACUGGAUAACAUUUUGGGCGAAGGUACAGGACUCCUCUUCAAACACUGUUUUACAACAAGCUAUCAGGUUCUAAGCCUUACAUUUCACACCAGUAAGACAGUUAUUGUUCCAUUAUCUUUCUUCAACCUACUAAAUAAAUAAAUAAAGCCCCACCCAGAUGACCUGGGAACAAUUAACAGUUUAAUACCUGUAGAAACCAACUAAAUAAGAUAGAAGGGAGUGGCCAAGUCUGCAGCAGCUGAACUCACUGUUUUGUCUCUCCUGUUACAGGAGCACUUGCAAGCAACAACUGCAGCAUUUAGCAAGUAGACCGGUCCAAGCACAUGCCUCAGAGCAGUACAGUGGAAGAGUAUGGACCUCAGGAUGCCAAAGGAAAACAAAUGAGAAGUUAUGGACAGUUGGCUGUAACUCAACUUUCAGAACUGCUACAGAACCAUUUUCUCCAGGAAUACUGGAUUGUUCUCUCCAGGGGAGAGGGAGUGCAGUUACCUCAGCUGGAGGGGAGCCUAUCCAGUGAACUGAUACUGCAGCAGCAGCAGUGCAGUAGUUGUAUCAGACUGCAGUGGUGAAGCAAGAGUUCGAGUCACAUGAUGAUGGCUUCCAUGUAACAUUCCAUCUCUAUUUCCAUCCUCCCCUAUUGCCAGAAGCUUAGAAUAGUGACCACAUGGAUGAUAAGUGGUUGCAAACAGAAGAAAUAAAUUUUGCUGUGUAGCUAUAGGUUCACCAUCUGUGACUCAGAAACUCAGAAAUAAAGCAGGACACCAGUACACAGUGCUUCAUCCAUACAGAAAGGAAUCCGCUAAGAUGGUCUGCAAAUUUUAUAAGGAUGACCCUGGAUGUCUGCCAUAGGAAGUGUAUCAAGCAAAACACACUUGGAGGAGGCUUUGGGACAGACCUAAAACACUUUGGAGGAAUGUGAUCUCUCAGAUUCCUGGGAAAUCCUGGACACCCCACAAGAACUGCUGGGAAAUGGGAAGUCUAGACUCUCACCAUGGACAGAAGUUUAGAAAAUUACACUGAUAUUGAUAAAGAAAGUGAUACACAAUCCAUGCAAUGUAACUGCAGCAGAGGUUACCCUUAGUGCAAGUGCUGGUUCACGUGAAGGCCUGUAUCCAAAGGUUUCAGUUAGUAAUGUUGCUUUAAUUAUUAAUCUACUUUAUGAUGUUAUGGAGUAGAUACAAUGGUGUACUACAAUACGAAUGAAAAGUGUGGCCACCUGGGCCCACAUCUCCAGGGAGCCCAUGGCCAAACAAAGAAGUAAUUCAAUGAAUUUAUUUUAGCAUAUGUGCUGAAUGUAAAUGCUCUUUUUAUUUAAUUUUUCGUUUAAAAAAACAAAGUUAAAUGAUAGUAUGCGACCUUCCUGCAUAUGCUUGCAGUAUCUAUCAUUUGCACAUACAUCAUUCAUUUACUUAGUUUUACACUAAGUUAAAGUAAAUAAUGGCUCCUGGAGAUUAACUGCUCAGUGUGAACACUUUUUGCAGAUUGGCUUCUUGUGACUCAUUGAAAAACAAAUGAGCAGAAAACCAGGAAAUAUUAAAUAAUGCAAUGAAGAGGUUUUGCCUCAUUUAUGUCUGGCCUCUAACAAAACUUUUGUUUUCUGGUAAAUAACAGAGUUAGUCAAUCAAUAAUGCUAGAUAUUAAGGGCCUCCUACUUCUUAUUUUUCAGAAAAUGCAUUGUUGACAUAAAAUUUACAAAGCAACAGAUUUUAUAAGUGAAUUAUGGUAAUAUUUAAAAGGUGUUCCUAACUGUUUUUGGCUUGGCCCCAGAUUAUUAAGCAUAAAGAUCGACAGCUACACACAGCAGGCUUCAGGCUGGCUGAAGAUGAAUGCAGUUUCUGUCUUCCUCAGUUAAAAUGUCGCACCAGAUUCUGGCUACUGCUUGUUGUCCCUGACUUUGUUUCACAUUUUGUUCCACAUCUUCACUAGUAAAUCAUUAGGACUGCAGACACUAAACUGAGGGAGGGGGAUGCUCCCUGUGGAUGAAGGUAACUUGACCUCUUUUUGUUUCAUCAUUUUAAAAUCUGGCUUCAGUGAACAAGUGAGCAUUUGUAUGAAAUAUGUUUGAUUAGUUAUUUUUGAAGCAAAGUUGAAAUCGUUCUGGAUUUCACAGAAUAUCCCUGGCUUUGCAUCAAGCUUUUUGUCUGUGUCUCAUAAAAACUUCAACAACUGCUAUUUUAGCACCUCUCGAAGUAUAUGGUAUCAGUAAUUAAAGCGUAUUCCUGAU
Molecule: long non-coding RNA, 2891 nt
Organism: Protopterus annectens (West African lungfish)
Lineage: Eukaryota; Metazoa; Chordata; Ceratodontiformes; Protopteridae
Exons: 2
Source: RefSeq, a predicted model, not a curated record